RNAcentral lists this ribosomal RNA (669 nucleotides) under uncultured archaeon. RNAcentral's name for it is "bacterial SSU rRNA". It matches the Rfam family "Archaeal small subunit ribosomal RNA", at positions 6 to 681 of the family's 1478-position model. The record is from RNAcentral.
GGUUGAUCCCGCCGGACCUGACUGCUAUCGGAUUGAUACUAAGCCAUGCGAGUCAUUGUAGCAAUACAAGGCAGACGGCUCAGUAACGCGUAGUCAACCUACCCUAUGGACGGGAAUAACCUCGGGAAACUGAGUAUAAUGCCCGAUAGAACACUAUACCUGGAAUGGUUUGUGUUCCAAACGAUUUAUUGCCGUAGGAUGGGACUGCGGCCUAUCAGUUUGUUGGUGAGGUAAUGGCCCACCAAGACUAUUACAGGUACGGGCUCUGAGAGGAGUGGCCCGGAGAUGGGUACUGAGACACGGACCCAGGCCCUAUGGGGCGCAGCAGGCGAGAAAACUUUGCAAUGUGCGAAAGCACGACAAGGUUAAUCCGAGUGGUUUCUGCUAAAGGAACCUUUUGACAGUCCUAGAAACACUGUUGAAUAAGGGGUGGGCAAGUUCUGGUGUCAGCCGCCGCGGUAAAACCAGCACCUCAAGUGGUCAGGAUGAUUAUUGGGCCUAAAGCAUCCGUAGCCGGCUCUGUAAGUUUUCGGUUAAAUCUGUACGCUCAACGUACAGGCUGCUGGGAAUACUGCAGAGCUAGGGAGUGGGAGAGGUAGACGGUACUCGGUAGGAAGUGGUAAAAUGCUUUGAUCUAUCGAUGACCACCUGUGGCGAAGGCGGUCUACC